RNAcentral lists this ribosomal RNA (468 nucleotides) under uncultured bacterium. RNAcentral describes it as "partial 16S ribosomal RNA". It matches the Rfam family "Bacterial small subunit ribosomal RNA", at positions 28 to 507 of the family's 1533-position model. The record is from RNAcentral.
GACGAACGCUGGCGGCGUGCUUAACACAUGCAAGUCGAACGGAAAGGCCCUGCUUUUGUGGGGUGCUCGAGUGGCGAACGGGUGAGUAACACGUGAGUAACCUGCCCUUGACUUUGGGAUAACUUCAGGAAACUGGGGCUAAUACCGGAGAGGAGCUCCUGCUGCAUGGUGGGGGUUGGAAAGUUUCGGCGGUUGGGUAUGGACUCGCGGCUUAUCAGCUUGUUGGUGGGGUAGUGGCUUACCAAGGCUUUGACGGGUAGCCGGCCUGAGAGGGUGACCGGCCACAUUGGGCCUGAGAUACGGCCCAGACUCCUACGGGAGGCAGCAGUGGGGAAUAUUGCACAAUGGGCGGAAGCCUGAUGCAGCAACGCCGCGUGCGGGAUGACGGCCUUCGGGUUGUAAACCGCUUUCGCCUGUGACGAAGCGUGAGUGACGGUAAUGGGUAAAGAAGCACCGGCUAACUACGUG